This 439-nucleotide ribosomal RNA is filed under the name uncultured bacterium. RNAcentral's name for it is "partial 16S ribosomal RNA". It matches the Rfam family "Bacterial small subunit ribosomal RNA", at positions 338 to 795 of the family's 1533-position model. The record is from RNAcentral.
CCUACGGGUGGCAGCAGUGGGGAAUAUUGCACAAUGGGGAAACCCUGAUGCAGCGACGCCGCGUGAGCGAUGAAGGAUUUCGGUAUGGAAAGCCCUAUCAGCAGGGAAGAAAAAGACGGGAACUGACUAAGAAGCCCCGGCUAAUUACGGGCCAGCAGCCGCGGUAAUACGGAGGGGGCAAGCGUUAGCCGGAUUUACUGGGUGUAAAGGGAGCGUAGACGGGCCUGCAAGCCAGAUGUGAAAGCCCGGGGCUCAACCCCGGGACUGCAUUUGGAACUGUAAGGCUAGAGUGUCGGAGAGGCAGGCGGAAUUCCUAGUGUAGCGGUGAAAUGCGUAGAUAUUAGGAGGAACACCAGUGGCGAAGGCGGCCUGCUGGACGAUGACUGACGUUGAGGCUCGAAAGCGUGGGGAGCAAACAGGAUUAGAUACCCGAGUAGUC